RNAcentral lists this unclassified non-coding RNA (838 nucleotides) under Zea mays. RNAcentral describes it as "misc RNA Zm00001eb211540". The record is from RNAcentral. Lineage: Eukaryota; Viridiplantae; Streptophyta; Magnoliopsida; Poales; Poaceae.
GGUCAAUAAUACCAAGCUGCAAGCAGAAACCAGUCGUCGGCUGGCUCGGCUGCCCCGCGCGGUCGGUCAGUGCGCCGCGGCGGCGGCGGCGGCGGUGCAGCGGCGCUGGCAGAAGUUGGGGACGCGGUCCAUGCACUGGUACACCGGCGGGUCGGCGCUGAGGCUGGACUUGACGCAGUCCCUGCAGGCCGGGUGGCACCCGCGGGGCGCCGCGUCCAGGCACUGGCACCGCGGCGGCUCCGAUCUGGUGCACCCGCCGCAGCUGUCACAGCACGGCCACGCGCGCGCCGCCGCCUUCGCCCGGCUCGCCAGCUCCCCUCCUCCUCCUCCGGCUCCCUGCCCUGAAACCAGAGGUCGAUUCGGGACCCAUGAGCCAAACUGAACAACCCACGCAUGCUGAUAGCAAGGAAGGAAGGAACAAAUCUUGAACUUUCCGACCAGAACCAGUGCGGAAAAAACAGAAAAUAAAUCUUGGAUUGACUGCGGGUCGGCAAAAAAAACUCCAAGGUUGCGACUUUUUGGCAAGAGCUGAGUAGGAGUCGGGGCACUGGGGCACCUACCUUUGCCUUGGACAUGGGCGUGGUGGUAGUGGUGGUGGUGCCUGUUGCUGGACUGCGCGAGGACGGCGCCGAUAAGUGCGAGUGCGAGGAAGAACAGCGCCUGGGUUCUCAUGUCUGAUGAUUGCUUGUCUCUGCGACUGCGAGAAUUAGUUGCGAUUGAUGAGCCUCCUCUCCUCUUUCUGGCUGUUCUUGUCCCUGAUCUCCUCUCUUCGACUCUUCCUGUUGUUCUUGCUCCUGCUUGGACUGGAGUUGCUUAUCUAUCUGUACGCGGCUAAUAG